GACGAACGCUGGCGGCGUGCUUAACACAUGCAAGUCGAACGGAAAGGCCCUGCGUUUGUGGGGUGCUCGUGUGGCGAACAGGUGAGUAACACGUGUGUAACCUGCCCUUGACUUUCGGAUAACUUCAGGGAACUGGGGCGAAUACCGGAUAGGAGCUCCUGCUGCAUGGUGGGGGUUGGAAAGAUUCGGCCGUUGGGGAUGGACUCGCGGCUUAUCAGCUGGAUGGUGGGGUAGUGGUUUACCAAGGCUUUGACGGGUAGCCGGCCUGAGAGGGUGACCGGCCACAUUGGGACUGAGAUACGGCCCAGACUCCUACGGGACGCAGCAGUGGGGAAUAUUGCACAAUGGGCGGAAGCGUGAUGCAGCAACGCCGCGUGCGGGAUGACGGCCUUCGGGUUGUAAACAGAUUUCGCAUGUGCCGAAGAGUGCGUGACGGUACCGGGUCAAGAAGCACCGGCUAACUACGUG
RNAcentral lists this ribosomal RNA (468 nucleotides) under uncultured bacterium. RNAcentral's name for it is "partial 16S ribosomal RNA". It matches the Rfam family "Bacterial small subunit ribosomal RNA", at positions 28 to 507 of the family's 1533-position model. The record is from RNAcentral.